AAGUCGUAACAAGGUUUCCGUAGGUGAACCUGCGGAAGGAUCAUUAUUGAAACUUUCUAGGGGCGUUCGGGUUCCGUUGCGCACCGGUGGAGACGCCGUGUUGCCGACGCCCGUUCGCCUCGUCCAAACUCAAACCCCUGUGCACUUUUUCGGGAUCGGUCCGGGUUAGCGCCCGGACCGUCUCGCUCACACAAACCACUACAGUAUAACGAAUGUCAAAUUCGAGGUUUCGGCCCCGUCUUAAUUAACAAAUUACAACUUUCAACAACGGAUCUCUUGGCUCUCGCAUCGAUGAAGAACGCAGCGAAAUGCGAUAAGUAAUGUGAAUUGCAGAAUUCAGUGAAUCAUCGAAUCUUUGAACGCACCUUGCGCUCCUUGGUAUUCCGAGGAGCAUGCCUGUUUGAGUGUCUUGAAAUCAUCAAGUCCCCGGAUUCGCGUCCGGAGGCUUGGACUUGGGGGUCUUUGCUGCGCUUUGGCGCGGCUCCCCUUAAAUGAAUCGGUUGUGGCCCGUCCGGCUUCAGUCCUCGGCGUUGUAUUCACCUCGCCCCGCGUCUUGUCGGCAGCGCCAUUCCCCGACCGCCUUUGGAGCGGCGGUCAAGACUACAAUUGAAAUCUGACCUCAAAUCAGGUAGGACUACCCGCUGAACUUAAGCAUAUCAAUAAGAGGAGGAAAAGAAACUAACAAGGAUUCCCCUAGUAACUGCGAGUGAAGCGGGAUGAGCUCAAAUUUGAAAUCUGGCGGUUACACCGUCCGAGUUGUAUUCUGGAGAAGCGUUUUCCGUGCUGGACCGUGUACAAGUCCCUUGGAACAGGGCGUCAUAGAGGGUGAGAAUCCCGUCUUUGACACGGACUGCCAGUGCUAUGCGAUGCGCUCUCGAAGAGUCGAGUUGUUUGGGAAUGCAGCUCAAAACGGGUGGUAAAUUCCAUCUAAAGCUAAAUAUUGGCGAGAGACCGAUAGCGAACAAGUACCGUGAGGGAAAGAUGAAAAGCACUUUGGAAAGAGAGUAAAACAGUACGUGAAAUUGUUGAAAGGGAAACGCUUGAAGUCAGUCGCGUCUUCUGGAACUCAGCCUUGCUUCUGCUCGGUGCACUUUCCAGUUCGACGGGCCAGCAUCGGUUUCGAGGGGUAGACAAAGGUUCGGGGAAGGUGGCACCUCCGGGUGUGUUAUAGCCCCUUGCUGCAUGUGCCCUUUGGGACCGAGGAAUCCGGCGCCUGGCGCUUGGGAUGCUGGCGUAAUGGCUCUAAACGACC
RNAcentral lists this ribosomal RNA (1252 nucleotides) under uncultured fungus. Its description in RNAcentral is "eukaryotic LSU rRNA". The stretch from base 615 to 1252 matches the Rfam family "Eukaryotic large subunit ribosomal RNA", at positions 1 to 649 of the family's 3401-position model. Lineage: Eukaryota; Fungi. The record is from RNAcentral.